This 378-nucleotide ribosomal RNA is filed under the name uncultured eukaryote. RNAcentral describes it as "partial 18S ribosomal RNA". It matches the Rfam family "Eukaryotic small subunit ribosomal RNA", at positions 592 to 976 of the family's 1831-position model. The record is from RNAcentral.
CAAUAGCGUAUAUUUAAGUUGUUGCAGUUAAAAAGCUCGUAGUUGGAUUUCGGGUGGGACGCAGCGGUCUCGCAUUGCGUUUGUACUGCUGCAGCCCUCCUUCUUGCCGGGGGCGGCCUCUCGGACUUCACUGUCUGGGGGUCAGAAUCGGCGAUGUUACUUUGAGUAAAUUAGAGUGUUCAAAGCAAGCUUACGCUCUGAAUAUAAUAGCAUGGGAUAACACGACAGGACUCUGGCCUAUCGUGUUGGUCUAUAGGACCAGAGUAAUGAUUAAGAGGAACAGUCGGGGGCAUUCGUAUUCCAUUGUCAGAGGUGAAAUUCUUAGAUUUAUGGAAGACGAACAUCUGCGAAAGCAUUUGCCAAGGAUGUUUNCAUUGA